CACUGUAUAAGUCAGGCUGGCCUUGCCCUCACUUUGUAGCCCAGGCUGGUCUUGAACUCACAACAUCCCCCUGCCUCAGCCUCCCGAGUGCUGGGAUUACAGGUGUGCGCCACCAUGCCUG
RNAcentral lists this microRNA precursor (121 nucleotides) under Octodon degus (degu). Its description in RNAcentral is "miRNA (ENSODEG00000021969.1)". Lineage: Eukaryota; Metazoa; Chordata; Mammalia; Rodentia; Octodontidae. The record is from RNAcentral.